UACAGAGGGUGCGAGCGUUGUCCGGAAUCACUGGGCGUAAAGGGCGCGUAGGCGGUUUUGUAAGUUGGGGGUGAAAUGCUGCGGCUCAACCGCAGCGCUGCCCUCAAGACUGCAAGACUUGAGCACGGUAGAGGCGGAUGGAAUUCCCGGUGUAGCGGUGGAAUGCGUAGAGAUCGGGAAGAACACCAAUGGCGAAGGCGGCUUCCUGGACUAAUACUGACGCUGAGGUGCGAAAGCGUGGGGAGUAAACAGG
This 253-nucleotide ribosomal RNA is filed under the name uncultured bacterium. RNAcentral describes it as "partial 16S ribosomal RNA". It matches the Rfam family "Bacterial small subunit ribosomal RNA", at positions 524 to 776 of the family's 1533-position model. The record is from RNAcentral.